Molecule: ribosomal RNA, 925 nt
Filed under: uncultured Paenibacillus sp.
Lineage: Bacteria; Bacillati; Bacillota; Bacilli; Caryophanales; Paenibacillaceae
Description: bacterial SSU rRNA
Rfam family: Bacterial small subunit ribosomal RNA
Source: RNAcentral
UGCAUCUAGAUUAGAGUUUGAUCCUGGCUCAGGACGAACGCUGGCGGCAUGCCUAAUACAUGCAAGUCGAGCGGAUCUCGUUAGUAGCUUGCUACUAACUUGGUUAGCGGCGGACGGGUGAGUAACACGUAGGCAACCUGCCCUUAAGAUCGGGAUAACAUUCGGAAACGAAUGCUAAGACCGGAUAAACAAUUUGGCUGCAUGGCCGAAUUGGGAAACGCGGAGCAAUCUGCGGCUUAGGGAUGGGCCUGCGGCGCAUUAGCUAGUUGGUGGGGUAAAGGCUCACCAAGGCGACGAUGCGUAGCCGACCUGAGAGGGUGAACGGCCACACUGGGACUGAGACACGGCCCAGACUCCUACGGGAGGCAGCAGUAGGGAAUCUUCCACAAUGGGCGAAAGCCUGAUGGAGCAAUGCCGCGUGAGUGAGGAAGGCUCUCGGGUCGUAAAGCUCUGUUGCCAGGGAAGAAUAAGGGUGAGAGUAACUGCUCAUUCGAUGACGGUACCUGAGAAGAAAGCCCCGGCUAACUACGUGCCAGCAGCCGCGGUAAUACGUAGGGGGCAAGCGUUGUCCGGAAUUAUUGGGCGUAAAGCGCGCGCAGGCGGUUCUUUAAGUUUGGUGUCUAAGUGCGGGGCUCAACCCCGUGAUGCACUGGAAACUGGGGAACUUGAGUGCAGAAGAGGAAAGCGGGAUUCCACGUGUAGCAGUGAAAUGCGUAGAGAUGUGGAGGAACACCAGUGGCGAAGGCGGCUUUCUGGACUGUAACUGACGCUGAGGCGCGAAAGCGUGGGGAGCAAACAGGAUUAGAUACCCUGGUAGUCCACGCUGUAAACGAUGAGUGCUAGUGUUGGGGGUAUCAUGCCCUCGGUGCCGAAGUUAACACAUUAAGCACUCCGCCUGGGGAGUACGGUCGCAGACUGAAACUCA